This 323-nucleotide ribosomal RNA is filed under the name uncultured soil bacterium. RNAcentral describes it as "bacterial SSU rRNA". It matches the Rfam family "Bacterial small subunit ribosomal RNA", at positions 26 to 351 of the family's 1533-position model. The record is from RNAcentral.
AGGACGAACGCUGGCGGCGUGCUUAACACAUGCAAGUCGAGCGGUAAGGCCUUUCGGGGUACACGAGCGGCGAACGGGUGAGUAACUCGUGGGUGAUCUGCCCUGCACUUCGGGAUAAGCCUGGGAAACUGGGUCUAAUACCGGAUAUGACCUCCUAUCGCAUGGUGGGUGGUGGAAAGAUUUAUCGGUGCAGGAUGGGCCCGCGGCCUAUCAGCUUGUUGGUGGGGUAAUGGCCUACCAAGGCGACGACGGGUAGCCGACCUGAGAGGGGUGACCGGCCACGACUGGGACUGAGACACGGCCCAGACUCCUACGGGAGCGAG